GAAUUGCCGAAUGCUACUUUGUGUUUUGGAAAUCAAGGAAAUUCAUUUGGAAACAAACAGUGCUGUUGACAUGUGUUAGCAAUUUGGAUUGGGGGAAUUGCUCCUUUUCUCGGAAUAUCAUGUUGCAUCUACUUGAAACUCUAGAGUUUCUGCACUUUAAGUAAACUGUGAUCAACUGAAAUGUCUAUCAAUACUAGAGCAAGUAAUUAAAAGAUGAAACCAAUUGAAUUUCCAUUCACUGAUACUGUCUUUUUCUAUAUCUUUUGCUUCUGCGAGAGUCAUCCCAUCGGUUUGGACCAGUGAUGGUGUUAAAUUUCCAAUUGUA
RNAcentral lists this unclassified non-coding RNA (325 nucleotides) under Hevea brasiliensis (rubber tree). Lineage: Eukaryota; Viridiplantae; Streptophyta; Magnoliopsida; Malpighiales; Euphorbiaceae. The record is from RNAcentral.